UUUUUUUUUUUUUUUUUUUUUUUUUGAGAGAGGGGUCUGGCUCUGUCACCCAGGCUGGAGUAUAGUAGAGCAAUCAUGGCUCACUGUAGCCUCCACCUCCUGGACUCAACCAAUCCUCCCACGUCAGCCUCCUGAGUAGCUGGGACUACAGGCACAUGCCACCAUGCCCAGCUAACUUUUUAAAUCUUAUGCCCAACUAAUUUUUUAAAUCUUUUGUAGAGAUGGAAUCUUGCUAUGUUACCCCAGUUGUGUAAUUUCAAAGCCCAUAUUCUCUCAAAUGUAAUCAUAGUGACCACACAACAAAACAGAUGUUCUGGAAUCAAUGGUGAGCUCCCAGCCAAGGGAGGCAGAAACUGGUAGUCCUGUGAGGGUUCAGGUGGACACUGAGCCACGGCCUGGGUGGCGACAAGGGCAGAUGAAGGAAGACACAGUUCCCUGAGCUGACAGGCAGGGAGGCCAGCUAUCCCAGGGCGUCUGACCAGAGGGCCCCAGCCCCAGGGCCUACAUCUGUUCUGCGUGGCAUGUAUCUGAAUUAAUUCUCAGCAGUUUAUUUAAUUUCUAUACAGCACAGUAUUUACUUUCUAUACAAUCACCCACAAAGCUGUUCAGCGCCUGGAGGCACCAAACAAUAGUUCUCUACAACCACCUCUGAAGGACCAAUUGCCUUUGAGUUUCACACAAAGCUCUCAUUAAAAACUCUUGACUGGAACUAGGUGGUUAGCAAUUUCCAGAGAAAUCUCUGAUAUAUUUACCCUGGAAAGAAAGAAAGAGAGGAAAAAAAAAAAAAAAAAGGUUUUCUAUAAAAUUUACUAAAAUUGUUAAUAAAAACCCUUUGAGUUUACUGAAAACAACUGAGUGACUAAUUCACACCAGGCAUUCUGCUGGAGACUUUCACACUGUGUUCUCAGACCUACUUCUCAGAAAAACCCCAGUUUUGGGCGUAUCUUUGUCCUCAUUUAACUGACAAUCAAACUGAGUGCCAGAGAGGUUAAAUGACUCGCCCAGCGUCAAAAGCCAGUAAGAGGACCAUGCUUCAAACCAAGAUUAAUGAGCUUACACAGGGAAACCC
This 1069-nucleotide long non-coding RNA is filed under the name Macaca fascicularis (crab-eating macaque). RNAcentral describes it as "lncRNA (ENSMFAG00000051956.1)". The record is from RNAcentral. Lineage: Eukaryota; Metazoa; Chordata; Mammalia; Primates; Cercopithecidae.